Molecule: ribosomal RNA, 253 nt
Filed under: uncultured bacterium
Lineage: Bacteria
Description: partial 16S ribosomal RNA
Rfam family: Bacterial small subunit ribosomal RNA
Source: RNAcentral
UACGUAGGGGGCAAGCGUUGUCCGGAAUCAUUGGGCGUAAAGGGCGCGUAGGUGGCCUGUUAAGUCGAACGUGAAAUCCCCGGGCUCAACCCGGGAACUGCGUCCGAGACUGGCAGGCUCGAAUCCGGGAGAGGGAUGCGGAAUUCCAGGUGUAGCGGUGAAAUGCGUAGAUAUCUGGAGGAAUACCGGUGGCGAAGGCGGCAUCCUGGACCGAGAUUGACACUGAUGAGCGAAAGCCAGGGGAGCAAACGGG